UGGAACAGGCAUGAUGGCUUUCU
RNAcentral lists this non-coding RNA (23 nucleotides) under Mus musculus (house mouse). The record is from RNAcentral. Lineage: Eukaryota; Metazoa; Chordata; Mammalia; Rodentia; Muridae.